UUCCUGCCGACGUAGGCUCCUUCGGCCGUCCGUCCUCUCGUACUUGGAGGCUGCAGACUAGCAGAUCUCCAGAUGGAUGGAGUGGUCGCAUGCGCUCCAUUCGUUCAUCCGCCAGUUAUUCGCUUCACCUCCCCAGGACACAUGACAAGAGUCCAUUUCAUCCUUUGUGAGAAGAGUGGAGGUAGGUAUAUUUUGCUAAACAGUAUUCUUCCUUAUUAUUUAUUGUCGUGCUUCUAAACCAUUUCAUCUUUGCCCUGUUUCUGUAUCUGUAACCAUUUCACCACUGCCAUGUUACUGAACCAGUAACAUGAAAUUUAUUCUUUAAUUGUCUGCAUCCCAGUUAUAAUAUCCGUCUUUUAUUUCUUAUUCAUGGCAUGAUUGUAAUUUAGCUAGGAUAUAAUGAUUACUAUUGCUGGAUGUUUGGUUUGGUGCUUCCUGAUUGAGUUAGGCUGCCUAGUGCUUCAAGUUAGCUAUGCUUUCUUUUGAAGUCCCGGUUGCAUCAUGAUUUGUUGUUUUACUAAGAUGCUGAUUAAUACACAUACUUGGUUUGGCAAAAACUCUGUUGGGUGGAAGUGCAUCGGAGACAGCUUCUCAACAUGAUGCAUGGCUCCGUUGGCGCGGCGGAGCGAUGACACUGCCACUUGCCCGGCCUCUGCUGACUUAAUAUUCGCCGAUGCUACCGCGUCCAUCUUUAAGUCGCCUCACCUUAUGUCCCCAAGCUGACAGAAGUCAAGGCCACUGCGCCUCUGAUCCAGCAUCUAUUUUAUGUAAUGUGCUUGUGACCAGAGUGUAAAAGUUUAAUUUUUAUUCGAAUUACUAUGAUCGUCCUAGCCUUGUUGUGUAAA
Lolium rigidum is the source of this 845-nucleotide long non-coding RNA. RefSeq lists it as uncharacterized. NCBI's taxonomy places the organism in Eukaryota, Viridiplantae, Streptophyta, Magnoliopsida, Poales, Poaceae. The record is from RefSeq and is a predicted model, not a curated record. The transcript has 3 exons.